RNAcentral lists this long non-coding RNA (1435 nucleotides) under Betta splendens (Siamese fighting fish). Its description in RNAcentral is "lncRNA (ENSBSLG00000002849.1)". The record is from RNAcentral. Lineage: Eukaryota; Metazoa; Chordata; Actinopteri; Anabantiformes; Osphronemidae.
AAGGGACCCGGGAGAGAGAGGCGGGAGUUUUUGUUCUGUGUAGUUCCGGGGGAGCUUAAACGACUGUGGUGAGACCUGUUGUGACCCCGCUGUUGUUAUUAGAAAAUAAAAGAAGUGCUGUUCACACCGAGGCUCGUAACAGUAUGUUUUGGGGUUGUUUAGUAAUUAGUAACUAAUAAUUUGCUAGUGAGUUUACCAUAGGUACCUCAAGUACAUUACCACAGUUAAUACAUGCUAACGUUGUCGUUAAAGUUGUCGUGUCACGCAACAAAGGGAAAUUUUAUUAUUUUGCGCUUUUAUGGUACUAACUUAUCUAUAAGUUAUUUAAAGUCGAAAAUCUAUCUUCUAAUUGGAUCGUUGCGUUUUAGACCAUAAAUGGUUAUUUAUUUAAGUCAUUUGAAGUCAAGAUUGUAUAAACUAUCGUAAGCACAGACAACAUUUCUGUCUUCAAAUCUUUUUUUAAGUAGUAAUUGUUUAAAAAAUUAUUCAAUAACAGGUUUCCAAUGAAAUGAAAACAGCUUUGGAUGUGUUUGUGUUCUCUUUAGGAUUUAUGUUUUCUCUGCCUUUGGAAAGGUAUGUUUUAUUAUUUUGUCAUUGUUUUAAUUCAUGAAAAAAAUGUGAAAGGUUACCUACUAGCUGACCACACAAAUAACACAUUAUUUUCUGAUAGGAUAGAAAAACUAUUCUUACCAGAGACAAUAUACUGUCAGCAGUUGACGAGCUUCAAGGAUCAAAGAACUCAAUGACAUAUUCUGGGGUAAGGUGUGUCAACAUUUGGGAAUUGCCAGUAUAAAACUCCACAAAACAAGGCUUAAACGAGCCUAUUUUCGUCACAGAAAGGUAAUUAUUUUAAAUUUUUCAUAGUAGCGGUGACAUGUUUUAUAUCUUCCUGCAGAAUAUUUAAAUGCAUGCUUUAGCCCUACAGCACAAGAUUGCGAGUGAUUCUAGAGUUGCAGAACAAGAAGCAGGCAGCACCAGUAACGUCCAAUCUGAUGGAGGGAGCGCAGCUGAAGCUGAAGCUGAUGCAGGCAGCACCAGUAACGUACAAUCUGAUGGAAACAUAAUAGUUGGCCAGGCCCCGGAGGAUUCAAUUCGACUCCCAAUACUGCAUCGCUGCCUGAGCCAUGUAAUGAAAAAUGCCAAGGACCUUUGCAAAAAACAUGCCCCAAAACAUUACCACCUAGCAAUGCAUACCUUCGGUGCUAUGGCUCAGGCCACAACAAUUGAAGAGCUUGAAGAAAUCAUUGUCAGUGCUGCUGUUGUGUUCUCAAGGUCCCACAGUGGCCAAAAAGUUGACAAACAUUUCAAAAACCUUCAGUUGAUAAUGACACAAGGAGGAAGAACUGACAUUGAGGACUCAUCCAUUGUGGAGCUGGAUUUUAUGGUCUGUAUAAAAUGCUACCAUAAUUCUUUACACAUUGCAUAUAUGACUUAA